RNAcentral lists this ribosomal RNA (301 nucleotides) under uncultured bacterium. Its description in RNAcentral is "partial 16S ribosomal RNA". It matches the Rfam family "Bacterial small subunit ribosomal RNA", at positions 509 to 807 of the family's 1533-position model. The record is from RNAcentral.
CAGCAGCCACGGUAACACGGAGGGGGCUAGCGUUGUUCGGAAUUACUGGGCGUAAAGCGCACGUAGGCGGCUUGGUAAGUUAGAGGUGAAAGCCCGGAGCUCAACUCCGGAAUUGCCUUUAAGACUGCCGAGCUAGCAGGUGAGAGAGGUAAGUGGAAUUCCGAGUGUAGAGGUGAAAUUCGUAGAUAUUCGGAAGAACACCAGUGGCGAAGGCGGCUUACUGGCUCAUACUGGACGCUGAGGUGCGAAAGCGUGGGGAGCAAACAGGAUUAGAUACCCGUGUAGUCCCUGUCUCUUAUAC